This 190-nucleotide ribosomal RNA is filed under the name Salmonella enterica subsp. enterica serovar Muenchen. RNAcentral describes it as "partial 16S ribosomal RNA". It matches the Rfam family "Bacterial small subunit ribosomal RNA", at positions 1 to 184 of the family's 1533-position model. Lineage: Bacteria; Pseudomonadati; Pseudomonadota; Gammaproteobacteria; Enterobacterales; Enterobacteriaceae. RNAcentral also lists the same sequence under 12 other names. The record is from RNAcentral.
AAAUUGAAGAGUUUGAUCAUGGCUCAGAUUGAACGCUGGCGGCAGGCCUAACACAUGCAAGUCGAACGGUAACAGGAAGCAGCUUGCUGCUUCGCUGACGAGUGGCGGACGGGUGAGUAAUGUCUGGGAAACUGCCUGAUGGAGGGGGAUAACUACUGGAAACGGUGGCUAAUACCGCAUAACGUCGCAA